GGGAGGGUCAUUGGAAACUGGGGAACUUGAGUGCAGAAGAGGAGAGUGGAAUUCCACGUGUAGCGGUGAAAUGCGUAGAGAUGUGGAGGAACACCAGUGGCGAAGGCGACUCUCUGGUCUGUAACUGACGCUGAGGAGCGAAAGCGUGGGGAGCGAACAGGAUUAGAUACCCUGGUAGUCCACGCCGUAAACGAUGAGUGCUAAGUGUUAGGGGGUUUCCGCCCCUUAGUGCUGCAGCUAACGCAUUAAGCACUCCGCCUGGGGAGUACGGUCGCAAGACUGAAACUCAAAGGAAUUGACGGGGGCCCGCACAAGCGGUGGAGCAUGUGGUUUAAUUCGAAGCAACGCGAAGAACCUUACCAGGUCUUGACAUCCUCUGACAAUCCUAGAGAUAGGACGUCCCCUUCGGGGGCAGAGUGACAGGUGGUGCAUGGUUGUCGUCAGCUCGUGUCGUGAGAUGUUGGGUUAAGUCCCGCAACGAGCGCAACCCUUGAUCUUAGUUGCCAGCAUUCAGUUGGGCACUCUAAGGUGACUGCCGGUGACAAACCGGAGGAAGGUGGGGAUGACGUCAAAUCAUCAUGCCCCUUAUGACCUGGGCUACACACGUGCUACAAUGGACAGAACAAA
RNAcentral lists this ribosomal RNA (627 nucleotides) under Bacillus sp. PCAM27. RNAcentral's name for it is "bacterial SSU rRNA". It matches the Rfam family "Bacterial small subunit ribosomal RNA", at positions 616 to 1243 of the family's 1533-position model. The record is from RNAcentral. Lineage: Bacteria; Bacillati; Bacillota; Bacilli; Caryophanales; Bacillaceae.